This 202-nucleotide microRNA precursor is filed under the name Oryza rufipogon (brownbeard rice). Its description in RNAcentral is "MIR812 microRNA precursor family". It matches the Rfam family "MIR812 microRNA precursor family". Lineage: Eukaryota; Viridiplantae; Streptophyta; Magnoliopsida; Poales; Poaceae. The record is from Rfam by way of RNAcentral.
UAUAAGGAUUUUGAGUUUCUGUUUACAACGUUUGACCACUCGUCUUAUUUAAAAUUUUUUGAAAUUAUUAUUUAUUUUAUUUGUGACUUACUUUAUUAUCUAUAAUACUUUAAGCACAACUUUUUAUUUUUUAUAUUUGUAAAAAAAAUUGAAUAAGACGAGUGGUCAAAUGUUGCAAGAAAAAAAAUCAAAAUCACUUAUA